GAUGAACGCUGGCGGCGUGCUUAACACAUGCAAGUCGAACGGAAAGGCUCCUGCUUGCUGGGGUACUCGAGUGGCGAACGGGUGAGUAACACGUGGGUGAUCUGCCCUGCACUUCGGGAUAAGCCUGGGAAACUGGGUCUAAUACCGGAUAGGACCACCUGUUGCAUGGUGUGGUGGAAAGUUUUUCGGUGUGGGAGGAGCUCGCGGCCUAUCAGCUUGUUGGUGGGGUAAUGGCGUACCAAGGCGUCGACGGGUAGCCGGCCUGGGAGGGGGUACGGCCAGAUUGGGACGGAGAUGCGGCCCGGACUCGUACGGGAGGGAGGAGAGGGGAAUAUUGCACAGUAGGAGCAAGCGUGAUGCAGCGAAGCCGCGUGGGGGGUGACGGCCUUCGGGUUGUAAACUACUCUCGCUAGGGACGAAGCGAUUUUGUGGCGGUACCAAGAGAAGAAGCACCGGCUAACUACGUG
This 467-nucleotide ribosomal RNA is filed under the name uncultured bacterium. Its description in RNAcentral is "partial 16S ribosomal RNA". It matches the Rfam family "Bacterial small subunit ribosomal RNA", at positions 28 to 507 of the family's 1533-position model. The record is from RNAcentral.